AGGUAAUUAGUUUAAGAUAAAACACUUGAUUUCGGCUUAAGAACUUGUGGUUCGAGUCCACAAUAACCUG
RNAcentral lists this transfer RNA (70 nucleotides) under Enneapterygius etheostoma. Its description in RNAcentral is "tRNA-Arg". It matches the Rfam family "tRNA". Rfam says of the family: Transfer RNA (tRNA) molecules are approximately 80 nucleotides in length. The record is from RNAcentral. Lineage: Eukaryota; Metazoa; Chordata; Actinopteri; Blenniiformes; Tripterygiidae.